AUCUAGCUGACGUGUCCGAAAUAAGACGAAACGUGCAUCAUGGAU
Schistosoma mansoni is the source of this 45-nucleotide non-coding RNA. The record is from Rfam. Lineage: Eukaryota; Metazoa; Platyhelminthes; Trematoda; Strigeidida; Schistosomatidae.